GAUGAACGCUGGCGGCGUGCCUAAUACAUGCAAGUCGAGCGAACAGACGAGGAGCUUGCUCCUCUGACGUUAGCGGCGGACGGGUGAGUAACACGUGGAUAACCUACCUAUAAGACUGGGAUAACUUCGGGAAACCGGAGCUAAUACCGGAUAAUAUAUUGAACCGCAUGAUUCAAUAGUGAAAGACGGUUUUGCUGUCACUUAUAGAUGGAUCCGCGCCGCAUUAGCUAGUUGGUAAGGUAACGGCUUACCAAGGCAACGAUGCGUAGCCGACCUGAGAAGGGAGUCAGCCACCCCUGAACGGGAACGAGGGACAGACCCCCAACGGAAGGAAGGAGGAGGGAAGUUCCCGUAAUGGCUGAAAGCUUGACGGACCAAGCCAGGGCGAGUGAAGAAGGUUUGCGGUUGGAAAAGUUAACUGAUUAGGAAAGAGAAAAAUUGUAAGUACGUGUGCCCGGUUGACGGUAACCUAUUAAUAAGCCCCGGCUAACUUCGUG
RNAcentral lists this ribosomal RNA (497 nucleotides) under uncultured bacterium. RNAcentral's name for it is "partial 16S ribosomal RNA". It matches the Rfam family "Bacterial small subunit ribosomal RNA", at positions 28 to 507 of the family's 1533-position model. The record is from RNAcentral.